Molecule: small nuclear RNA, 95 nt
Filed under: Choloepus hoffmanni (Hoffmann's two-fingered sloth)
Lineage: Eukaryota; Metazoa; Chordata; Mammalia; Pilosa; Megalonychidae
Source: RNAcentral
GUACAACAUAUAAUAAAAUUGGAAUGAUACAGAGAACAUAAGCAUGGCCCCUGUGCAAGGAGGACAUGGAAAUUCAUAAAAUGUUCCAUACUUUU